Rhizobium gallicum bv. gallicum is the source of this 70-nucleotide regulatory RNA element. It matches the Rfam family "ybhL leader". Rfam says of the family: This family is a putative regulatory RNA structure that is found upstream of an uncharacterized membrane protein in alpha-proteobacteria. The record is from Rfam. Lineage: Bacteria; Pseudomonadati; Pseudomonadota; Alphaproteobacteria; Hyphomicrobiales; Rhizobiaceae.
UAGGCAUGCUGGAGCUCCGCAGCGGCGCCCGGGUCGUAUAGCCCGACACCGUAUACCCAUCGGAGCUUUU